Molecule: ribosomal RNA, 364 nt
Filed under: uncultured bacterium
Lineage: Bacteria
Description: bacterial SSU rRNA
Rfam family: Bacterial small subunit ribosomal RNA
Source: RNAcentral
ACGUAGGUGGCAAGCGUUAUCCGGAAUUAUUGGGCGUAAAGGGUGCGUAGGCGGUUUGAUAAGUCUGAGGUGAAAGUUCGGGGCUCAACUCCGAAUUGCCUUAGAAACUGUCAGACUUGAGUGUAGGAGAGGGCAAUGGAAUUCCAUGUGUAGCGGUAAAAUGCGUAGAUAUAUGGAGGAACACCAGUGGCGAAGGCGGUUGCCUGGCCUAUAACUGACGCUGAGGCACGAAAGCGUGGGGAGCAAAUAGGAUUAGAUACCCUAGUAGUCCACGCUGUAAACGAUGAUUACUAAGUGUUGGAGCAAUUCAGUGCUGCAGUUAACGCAAUAAGUAAUCCGCCUGGGGAGUAUGCACGCAAGUGUG